This is a long non-coding RNA of Stegostoma tigrinum, 1450 nucleotides long. RefSeq lists it as uncharacterized. The record is from RefSeq and is a predicted model, not a curated record. Lineage: Eukaryota; Metazoa; Chordata; Chondrichthyes; Orectolobiformes; Stegostomatidae. The transcript is spliced from 3 exons.
UUUCAAACAUGCGCAGACUUGGAGGCAAAGCAGAGCCGGAGGAAACGGAUGAGGAACAGGCGCGAUAAGGAUUUGAAAGAUCAAUGUCAGCAGAGGAAUUGGCAGACUUGAACCUGAAACCAAACUGUGAUAGAAUAACUCGAUUGAUGAGGAUCUGAAUAUUAUCAGCAUCUGAAUGUGGUAGCGUUCAGUUGGACCAUUUGCAGUCAAUGAACUCAAAUGUCACUUCAGAUUCCUACGGAAAUGUUGAAUUCAUCCGGUCUUGAAUAUCAUCAGGCUUUGAUCAUGGAAGUCAAAACCAAUCUUUGCACUGAGAAACCAUGGAAAUGUGAGGACUAUGAGAAGGAAUUCAAAUAUCCAUCUUGCCUGGAAAGUCAUCAGUGCGGUCACACUGGAGAGAGAGCGUUCACCUGCUCUGUCUGUGGAAAGGCAUUCAUUUGAUCAUCCAAUCUGCUGACACACCAGCAAGUUCAUGUAAGAGAGAGGCAGUUCAUCUGCUCUGAUUGUGCGAAAGGAUUCACUCACUCAUCCCAUCUGCUGACACACCUGCAAGUUCACACUGGGGAGAGACCUUUUAAAUAUCCAGACUCUAGGAAUUGCAAGAAAAGUUCUGGAGAACUAAUAUCCCAUCAAGAUGUUCACACUCGUGAGAAACCAUUCAGGUGCUGUCACUGUCUGACUCAGUUCAAGCGAUCAUCUAAACACCCAGGACAUCAGCUCGUUCACACGGGGGAGAGACUGAUCAUCUGUUCCGUAUGUAAGAAGUAUUUCAUUCACUCAUCUGACCUGGUGAAAUACCAGCAAGUUCAUUCUAAGGAGAGACCUUUUAAUUGUUCAGACUGUGGGAAAUGCUGUAAAUGUUCUGGAGAAUUGAUGUCCCAUCAACAUAUUCACACUAAUGAGAGACCAAUAAGAUACUCUCACUGUGGGACUCGGUACAGAUGAAUGUGUAACCUCACUGUACUCCAAUGAAUUCACACAGUGGAGAAACAAUUCACUUGCUUCAACUGCAGGAAGGGAUUCACCAGGUCAUUGUACCUGCUGAAACACCAGCAAGUUCAUUCUGACAAGAGAAUGUGGGAAAUGGUAUAAACAUUCUGGAGAAUUAGCCCCCAUGAACUUCUUCAUAUUAUCGAAAUAACUUUUGAAUUUUUCAAUUUCAGAAAAUGCUUUAAAAAUUCUCAACAAGUGAUGAUCCAUCAAUGUGUUUACACAGGUGAGAGACCGUUCCAGUGCUCUCACUUUGAAACUGGGUUCAGGUCAUCAUUUCACCUCAUUGCAUGCCAGUGAUGUCAUACUGGAGAGAGAUUGUUUGCCUGCAUUGAAUGUGGGAAGGGAUUCACUCAAACACCCGACCCCCUGAAACAUGAGUGAAUUCACAAGUAACCACCAUGGUUGCAUUUUGCUAUUAAUUAUAUUUGGCAAUGAGCAUAUUUCAUUGUUGUCUGUU